This 492-nucleotide ribosomal RNA is filed under the name uncultured bacterium. RNAcentral describes it as "partial 16S ribosomal RNA". It matches the Rfam family "Bacterial small subunit ribosomal RNA", at positions 29 to 507 of the family's 1533-position model. The record is from RNAcentral.
AGUGAACGCUGGCGGUAGGCCUAACACAUGCAAGUCGAACGGCAGCACAGUAAGAGCUUGCUCUUACGGGUGGCGAGUGGCGGACGGGUGAGGAAUACAUCGGAAUCUACUUUUUCGUGGGGGAUAACGUAGGGAAACUUACGCUAAUACCGCAUACGACCUACGGGUGAAAGCAGUGGAUCUUCGGACCUUGCGUGAUUGAAUGAGCCGAUGUCGGAUUAGCUAGUUGGCGGGGUAAAGGCCCACCAAGGCGACGAUCCGUAGCUGGUCUGAGAGGAUGAUCAGCCACACUGGAACUGAGACACGGUCCAGACUCCUACGGGAGGCAGCAGUGGGGAAUAUUGGACAAUGGGCGCAAGCCUGAUCCAGCCAUACCGCGUGGGUGAAGAAGGCCUUCGGGUUGUAAAGCCCUUUUGUUGGGAAAGAAAAGCAGCAGGUUAAUCCCCCGCUGUUCUGACGGUACCCAAAGAAUAAGCACCGGCUAACUUCGUG